GACGAACGCUGGCGGCGUGCUUAACACAUGCAAGUCGAACGGAAAGGCUCCAGCUUGCUGGAGUACUCGAGUGGCGAACGGGUGAGUAACACGUGGGUAAUCUGCCCUGCACUCUGGGAUAAGCCUGGGAAACUGGGUCUAAUACUGGAUAUGACCUUUCUCCUUAUGGGGUUUGGUGGAAAGUUUUUCGGUGUAGGAUGAGCCCGCGGCCUAUCAGCUUGUUGAUGGGGUGAUGGCCUACCAAGGCGACGACGGGUAGCCGGCCUGAGAGGGUGAUCGGCCACAUUGGGACUGAGAUACGGCCCAGACUCCUACGGGAGGCAGCAGUGGGGAAUAUUGCACAAUGGGCGGAAGCCUGAUGCAGCGACGCCGCGUGAGGGAUGACGGCCUUCGGGUUGUAAACCUCUUUCAGCAGGGACGAAGCGUAAGUGACGGUACCUGCAGAAGAAGCACCGGCUAACUAUGUG
RNAcentral lists this ribosomal RNA (467 nucleotides) under uncultured bacterium. RNAcentral's name for it is "partial 16S ribosomal RNA". It matches the Rfam family "Bacterial small subunit ribosomal RNA", at positions 28 to 507 of the family's 1533-position model. The record is from RNAcentral.